AUGAGCGACGAGGAUCUCUUGUUCAACUUCUUAUCCGGGCUCAAACCUUGGGCGGUUCAAGAAUUAAGACGGUCCAAGGCCGACGACAUCUCGACGGCACUUAAGGUAGCUGCCACAUUGGAGGAAUAUACUAGUGCUGACAAAGGGGUUCAUGUCAAGCACCAAGGCGAAUCAUCCAAGUCUAGGACACAAAGGACUUGGCCGGUUACAGGUGGGGGAGCCAAGUACGGAACCCACAAGCCAAUAACCCAUGGAGACAAAGGGAAACAGGUCAGAGACAACAAGAAGGAGGCCAAACCAAGGGAGGGUUGCUUCCUA
Molecule: long non-coding RNA, 318 nt
Filed under: Nicotiana benthamiana
Lineage: Eukaryota; Viridiplantae; Streptophyta; Magnoliopsida; Solanales; Solanaceae
Description: long non-coding RNA (NBEN_LNC001847)
Source: RNAcentral